UCGUCGUCUUUCACACCGCACUAUAGCAGAGCUACCUUUGUACAACCCACACGCAUGCAGGUUUGUCCUCCUCCUUUCUGCUAUUCCCCCCUUUUGAUUAAUGAAACUGCAACUACAUGUCCCUCUAUCUAUUCCCCUGGCCUCACUCACGUUUCCUCCCUUUGUCUCAUGGAUGAAGUUGCCGGCUGCAGGGGUGUUGCGAGGAGUUAGAGGUCGUGCACCGGCCGGAGCAGCAAGAGCAAUGAUCUGGCGGCCUCUCUUCUCUGCCACUGCUCCCUUCUCUUCCUUCAGCUCUCGAGACGUCAACCUGCAGGUGUAGGUGCUUGUGUCUCAACCAUCUUUUUCCUGUAUCCUCAAUCACAUUUUUUAUUUCUGAUUCGUGUGUUACCAUAUUAUUGCUAGGCUAGAGUUUGUCUGUGGGUUGUUUAUGCCCGGCUUUAAUAUCGGCCCACACUAUUUAUAAGGAACUGCUGAUGUCCAGUUCAGAGGUAUGUUUUCUAGCUGAAGCAUUGUUUGAAUAUCUAUGGCCCAUGCUCCAAGUGAGAUUAAUUCUUUCAUUUAUUUUCUACUAAUGUGAGUGAUUUAGUUCUCACGUACUGAUAAAUGUGCAUGGCAUACUAUUUUUAGGCAAACCAUUGUUUAACAAUGGAUAUGCGGAGGGUUUUUUAUGCAUGUGCAUUUCCCCUGAAUCUAGACAGCUAUUCAACCUAUUGCGGACAUUUUUGGUGGAAUUCAAUGCUUCGUCAUGUAUUUUUGACCUCUAUAUUCCCUAUCAUGUGUAUUUAACAAGUGAAUGUUCAGUGAUUCUCGAUUUUGCCUUUUUAAUCUAUGAAUGCAAUCCUUAAUGUGAUGGAAAUGUAUUGUACAUUUUUUGUCGAGCAAAUAUUGAUUCAUGCCAUGCAUGUUAUCGGUGGGUUUAAAAAAAGUUUUCCUGAUUGUAGUGUGAUUGCUUUAUCAAAGUUGGUUUAGUUACCCAACCUUCUAUUUUCAUUGAUUUUGUAUGAUUCUUGAAAACGGAGUGUGGGUUGUGUUUAUCAAUAAUAUACUACAGAUGUCAGUUCUGUUGCCAAAUGAUCUAAACUUGAUUUACCCACUUAUAGAACAGAAAAGAGUAUGGUAUUUACCUUCCGUGGAUUUACUUGAAUGACUGUACAAGUAUCUCGGCUUGGUUUAUUUCCCAU
RNAcentral lists this long non-coding RNA (1181 nucleotides) under Triticum aestivum (bread wheat). RNAcentral describes it as "long non-coding RNA (TAES_LNC022320)". The record is from RNAcentral. Lineage: Eukaryota; Viridiplantae; Streptophyta; Magnoliopsida; Poales; Poaceae.